RNA transcript from Balaenoptera musculus (blue whale), 4358 nucleotides. It is a transcript of the gene named PHD finger protein 14, with no coding region annotated. The record is from RefSeq and is a predicted model, not a curated record. Lineage: Eukaryota; Metazoa; Chordata; Mammalia; Artiodactyla; Balaenopteridae. The transcript has 18 exons.
UGUUUUCACUUCCUUUUCUUCAGAGCUGUAUCCGGGUCGUUGCUUUCCCUAUUGUUUUAGGCAACCGGCCUCGGAUUGUGUAAAUUCUGAGUCUUUUGUUGCUUUUGUUGCAGGCUAAUAAAGUUUUUCUUUUGUUUAUUUUUUUUCUAGGAGUUUUAACAGGGGACAUUAACUCCCCAGGGCUGCCGGGUUAGCCGCGCUGCCUGGGCCGGAGGGCGCCUUUGGCCGGGGAAGCGCCAAAGGAAGGUGCGCUAGCGGCCGGGGUCGGUUCUGCGAGGACCAGGGGCCGGGGGGCGGGAGGGGAACCGCGGGGCUGCACCUGGGGCGCCUCGGUCUGGUCCGCGGCGCCGACUAUUUUUAAUAGCAUCUUUUGGACUCGUUUCCUUGGUCUCAGUCCUCGACCUCGGCGCUGCCUGGGCUCUCGCAGCCUCUCCCUAGGUCUACUCCAAACGACCACCUCGGAUUCCUUAUGGAUCGCAGCUCCAAGAGGAGGCAGGUGAAGCCUUUGGCAGCUUCUCUGCUAGAAGCUCUCGAUUAUGAUAGUUCAGAUGACAGUGAUUUUAAAGUUGGAGAUGCUUCAGAUUCUGAAGGGAGUGGUAAUGGAAGUGAAGAUCCUUCAAAGGACAGUGGAGAAGGUUCCUGUAGUGAUUCUGAAGAAAAUGUUUUAGAGGAAGAACUGAAUGAAGAUAUUAAAGUAAAAGAAGAACAACUUAAAAAUUCUGCAGAGGAAGAAAUACUAUCAUCAGAAAAACAGUUAAUUAAAGUGGAAAAGAAGGAGGAAGAAGAGAAUGGAGAGAGACCUAGAAAGAAGAAGGAAAAAGAGAAGGAGAAAGAAAAAGAUAAAGAGAAGGAGAGAGAGAAGGAUAAAGAAAAAGCAACAACAUCUGAUAAUGUGGCUGCUUCUGCUGCUUCCACCACACCAGCCACAAGUCCUCCUGCUGCUAACACAUCUCCUUCAGUCCCCACUACAGCAACUACAGAGGAACAAGUCAGUGAGCCAAAAAAGUGGAACCUUCGUCGCAACCGACCACUUUUGGAUUUUGUAUCCAUGGAAGAGCUGAAUGACAUGGAUGACUAUGAUAGUGAAGAUGAUAAUGAUUGGCGACCCACUGCAGUAAAGAGAAAGGGAAGAUCUGCAUCUCAGAAGGAAGGAAGUGAUGGAGACAAUGAGGAUGAUGAAGAUGAGGGAAGUGGGAGUGAUGAGGAUGAGAAUGAUGAAGGCAAUGAUGAAGAUCAUAGCAGCCCUGCCAGUGAAGGGGGUUGCAAGAAGAAGAAGAGUAAAGUUCUUAGCAGAAACAGUGCUGAUGAUGAGGAACUGACCAAUGAUAGCCUGACACUAUCUCAGAGCAAGAGUAAUGAGGACUCGCUGAUUCUUGAGAAGAGUCAAAACUGGAGUUCUCAAAAAAUGGACCAUAUUCUGAUUUGCUGUGUUUGUCUUGGAGAUAAUAGUGAGGAUGCUGAUGAAAUAAUUCAGUGUGACAACUGUGGCAUUACAGUCCAUGAAGGUUGUUAUGGAGUUGAUGGAGAGAGUGACUCUAUUAUGAGUUCAGCUUCUGAAAACUCCACUGAACCUUGGUUUUGUGAUGCCUGUAAAUGUGGUGUUUCCCCUAGCUGUGAACUAUGUCCCAAUCAGGAUGGAAUUUUCAAGGAGACAGAUGCUGGAAGAUGGGUUCACAUUGUUUGUGCCCUGUAUGUUCCUGGUGUAGCCUUUGGAGAUAUUGACAAAUUGCGACCAGUAACACUCACAGAAAUGAACUAUUCCAAAUAUGGUGCCAAGGAGUGUAGCUUCUGUGAAGACCCUCGUUUUGCUAGAACUGGAGUUUGCAUUAGCUGUGAUGCAGGGAUGUGCAGAGCCUAUUUCCAUGUGACCUGCGCUCAGAAGGAAGGUCUGCUUUCAGAGGCAGCAGCAGAGGAGGAUAUAGCAGAUCCAUUUUUUGCUUAUUGUAAGCAACAUGCAGAUAGGUUAGACAGAAAGUGGAAGAGAAAAAACUACUUGGCUCUACAAUCCUAUUGUAAAAUGUCUUUACAAGAGAGAGAGAAGCAGCUAUCACCAGAAGCACAGGCAAGGAUCAAUGCCCGGCUUCAGCAAUAUCGUGCCAAAGCAGAACUAGCUCGAUCCACCAGACCCCAGGCCUGGGUUCCAAGGGAAAAAUUGCCCAGACCACUCACUAGCAGUGCUUCGGCCAUUCGUAAACUUAUGCGGAAAGCAGAACUAAUGGGGAUCAGUACAGAUAUCUUCCCAGUGGACAAUUCAGAUACUAGUUCUAGUGUGGAUGGAAGGAGAAAACAUAAGCAACCUGCUCUCACUGCUGAUUUUGUGAAUUAUUAUUUUGAGAGAAAUAUGCGCAUGAUUCAAAUUCAAGAAAAUAUGGCUGAACAAAAGAAUAUAAAGGAUAAAUUAGAGAAUGAACAAGAAAAGCUUCAUGUGGAAUAUAAUAAGCUGUGUGAAUCUUUAGAAGAACUACAAAACCUGAAUGGAAAACUUCGAAGUGAAGGACAAGGAAUAUGGGCCUUACUAGGCAGAAUCACAGGGCAGAAGUUGAACAUACCGGCAAUUUUGCGAGCACCCAAGGAGAGAAAACCAAGUAAAAAAGAAGGAGGCACACAAAAGACAUCUACUCUUCCUGCAGUACUUUAUAGCUGUGGAAUUUGUAAGAAGAACCAUGAUCAGCAUCUUCUUUUAUUGUGUGAUACCUGUAAACUCCAUUACCAUCUUGGAUGUCUGGACCCUCCUCUUACAAGGAUGCCAAGAAAGACCAAAAACAGUUAUUGGCAGUGUUCAGAAUGUGACCAGGCAGGGAGCAGUGACAUGGAAGCAGACAUGGCCAUGGAAACCUUACCAGAUGGGACCAAACGAUCAAGGAGGCAGAUUAAGGAACCAGUGAAAUUUGUUCCACAGGAUAUGCCUCCAGAACCCAAGAAGAUUCCAAUAAGAAACACGAGAACCAGAGGACGAAAACGAAGCUUCCUUCCUGAGGAAGAAAAACAUGAGGAGAGAGUUCCUAGAGAGAGGAGACAAAGGCAGUCUGUGUUACAAAAGAAGCCCAAGGCUGAGGAUUUACGAACUGAAUGUGCAACUUGCAAGGGAACUGGAGACAAUGAAAACCUUGUCAGAUACCCUUCAUGAGACCCAACUCUGCCACUGCUCAUCCUCGGAGGCAAUCCUGGAAACCUCUUUUAUAAGUGUGAUUUUAAAAAUGUGGAUAACACUCUCAAUAGAGUAUAUAAAGUAAAGGAGAACAGCUAUCUUGUCUUUCCCAUAAGCUUAUCACUGCAAAAAGUUGCCUUUGCUUGUCAGGUUUGGAUAGAAUGUAACUGAUUGGUUUGUUACUUGGACUGACAAGGCAGUUAAUUUGCCUGUGUGGAUUUUUUUCUCCUUUUUUUCUACUUCAACUUUUUUUUUUUGCACUAAUCAGAAACAUUUGAUAUGUGCAUUGUUGAAAAAUACUAGAUAAUGUCUUGUCAGAAUUGUCCUAUUAAGUAAUGUCUUCCCCUCUUGCUUCUUUGGCAAAUGAUAUACAGUAUUUGGACUUGAGAGUUAUGGAAGCCUGUGGGACUUAACAUGCAAUGUGCUACUCGUUGUUGAACAAAUCUAGUAACAAACAAGAAAGGGAAUGCAUUCCAUUAGUCUGCUAUUCUGUUUCAUCCAACUUAGUACAUAUAUUCAUAUAUGAAAUGCUGCAUUGGGAAACAACUGUAGACUAUAUUAAAUGUUACUUCUAUUUAUAAUAUUCAGCAAAAGUGAAAGACUUGUGAAAGCAUAUGGCAUUCUAGUUUUGACUCAUUAGUUCUAGUGUGAAAGCACUAAUAUUAGUAGCAUGCAGUUUUUACAACUUCAGAUUUUAAGCUUGUAAAUAAGAAUAUAUCUGUGUUGAUCUCUAGAUAUUUUUUAGUAAUAACCAAAUUUAUUCACUCUUUAUUGAUUUAAUACGAACUUUCUCUGUUCAGUAUAAUUUUAUUUUUCUCAACCUUAAGUAUGAGGUUACAAAAUAAGGAGAGAGAUACAAAGCUUUUGACUAUACAACCUGCCAACUGAAAGAUCUUCAUCAACAUUUGUAUCUUUCCAAAGGUUUACAGAAUUAAAAUUUGGUCUUCAAGCUUUAAUGAACCAGUUUUAAAUCAACGACAGAAAUAUGUUGAAUAUUUCAUCACUUCAUCUUGAACUGAUUUAGAAGAGACUCUUUGCUGAAAUUGAAAUACAUAUAUACAUGUAAAUUGUCAACAUGUCUCUUGGAAUUUCCUGAUUUAUAAAUGUGGUUUGGGACAUCUUUUCAGGUGUGAUGAAUGCAGACUGUGCUACCAUUUUGGUUGUUUGGAUCCUCCCUUGAAAAAGUCUCCUAAACAAACAGGCUAUGGAU